GAUGAACGCUGGCGGCGUGCCUAAUACAUGCAAGUCGAGCGAACGGACGAGAAGCUUGCUUUUCUGAUGUUAGCGGCGGACGGGUGAGUAACACGUGGAUAACCUACCUAUAAGACUGGGAUAACUUCGGGAAACCGGAGCUAAUACCGGAUAAUAUUUUGAACCGCAUGGUCCAAAAGUGAAAGACGGUCUUGCUGUCACUUAUAGAUGGAUCCGCGCUGCAUUAGCUAGUUGGUAAGGUAACGGCUUACCAAGGCAACGAUGCAUAGCCGACCUGAGAGGGUGAUCGGCCACACUGGAACUGAGACGCGGUCCAGACUCCUACGGGAGGCAGCAGUAGGGAAUCUUCCGCAAUGGGCGAAAGCCUGACGGAGCAACGCCGCGUGAGUGAUGAAGGUCUUCGGAUCGUAAAACUCUGUUAUUAGGGAAGAACAUAUGUGUAAGUAACUGUGCACAUCUUGACGGUACCUAAUCAGAAAGCCACGGCUAACUACGUG
RNAcentral lists this ribosomal RNA (497 nucleotides) under uncultured bacterium. Its description in RNAcentral is "partial 16S ribosomal RNA". It matches the Rfam family "Bacterial small subunit ribosomal RNA", at positions 28 to 507 of the family's 1533-position model. The record is from RNAcentral.